This 399-nucleotide ribosomal RNA is filed under the name uncultured bacterium. RNAcentral's name for it is "partial 16S ribosomal RNA". It matches the Rfam family "Bacterial small subunit ribosomal RNA", at positions 360 to 773 of the family's 1533-position model. The record is from RNAcentral.
AAUAUUGCGCAAUGGGGGGAACCCUGACGCAGCAACGCCGCGUGAGUGAAGAAGGCCUUCUGGUCGUACAACUCUGUCAUCGGGGAAGAAAAAAAUGACGGUACCCGAAGAGGCAGCCCCGGCUAACUAUGCGCCAGCAGCCGCGGUAAUACGUAGGGGGCAAGCGUUGUCCGGAAUUACUGGGCGUAAAGGGUGCGUAGGCGGCCUGAUAAGUCAGAUGUGAAGUACCAGGGCUCAACCCUGGGGGUGCAUUUGAAACUGUAAGGCUUGAGUGCAGGAAAGGAAAGUGGAAUUCCUAGUGUAGCGGUGAAAUGCGUAGAGAUUAGGAGGAACACCAGUGGCGAAGGCGACUUUCUGGACUGUAACUGACGCUGAGGCACGAAAGCGUGGGGAGCGAAC